GAUGAACGCUGGCGGCGUGCCUAAUACAUGCAAGUCGAGCGAACAGACGAGGAGCUUGCUUCUCUGACGUUAGCGGCGGACGGGUGAGUAACACGUGGAUAACCUACCUAUAAGACUGGGAUAACUUCGGGAAACCGGAGCUAAUACCGGAUAAUAUAUUGAACCGCAUGGUUCAAUAGUGAAAGACGGUUUUGCUGUCACUUAUAGAUGGAUCCGCGCCGCAUUAGCUAGUUGGUAAGGUAACGGCUUACCAAGGCAACGAUGCGUAGCCGACCUGAGAGGGUGAUCGGCCACACUGGAACUGAGGCACGGUCCAGACUCCUACGGGAGGCAGCAGUAGGGAAUCUUCCGCAAUGGGCGAAAGCCUGACGGAGCAACGCCGCGUGAGUGAUGAAGGUCUUCGGAUCGUAAAACUCUGUUAUUAGGGAAGAACAAAUGUGUAAGUAACUAUGCACGUCUUGACGGUACCUAAUCAGAAAGCCACGGCUAACUACGUG
Molecule: ribosomal RNA, 497 nt
Filed under: uncultured bacterium
Lineage: Bacteria
Description: partial 16S ribosomal RNA
Rfam family: Bacterial small subunit ribosomal RNA
Source: RNAcentral